GUCCACGCCCUAAACGAUGUCGACUGGUUGUUGGGGGUUUGACACUCUCAGUAACGAAGCUAACGCGUGAAGUCGACCGCCUGGGGAGUACGGCCGCAAGGUUAAAACUCAAAGGAAUUGACGGGGACCCGCACAAGCGGUGGAUUAUGUGGAUUAAUUCGAUGCAACGCGAAAACCUUACCUACCCUUGACAUGUCCUGGAGCUCGGUGAAAGCCGGGUGUGCCCGAAAGGGAACGGGAACACAGGUGCUGCAUGGCUGUCGU
Molecule: ribosomal RNA, 264 nt
Filed under: uncultured bacterium
Lineage: Bacteria
Description: partial 16S ribosomal RNA
Rfam family: Bacterial small subunit ribosomal RNA
Source: RNAcentral